Long non-coding RNA from Sciurus carolinensis (gray squirrel), 1210 nucleotides. RefSeq lists it as uncharacterized. The record is from RefSeq and is a predicted model, not a curated record. Lineage: Eukaryota; Metazoa; Chordata; Mammalia; Rodentia; Sciuridae. The transcript has 3 exons.
AGUGCUAUAAACUGAAGCCUUCAUAUAUGCUAGGUACUGGGGAUAGAAUGCAGGGGCACUUUACGAGUAAGCUAUGAGCUACACCCACAGGUUCUUGCCAAGUUGCCCAGGUUGGCCUUGAACCUGUUGUGAUCCUCAUAUACUUCAGCCCGGAGUCCUGGAAUCACAGGGUGUCACCUGAACCAAGAAAGCUUCGGAACCAGAAGUAGAAAUAAUCCGUGAGUUUGUAAACCACUGCUACUGGCAAAUCAGUCCUUGAGCUACAACAGUUUUCAUAUUUUUAAUGAGGUAUAGAAAACAAAGCUAAUUUUUAAUGAGGUGUAGAAAACGAAGACAACAAAACAAAGAAUAUGUGAUAGAGACCAUGCCUGUGACUGUGUAGCCUGCAAAGCCUGAAAUAUUUACUAUCUGGCUCUCUGCCUACUCCUGAAUUUACACUACCAAUACGUAAAUAUUUUCCAGUGUCCAGUGAUAUAGACUCUAGACCUGUGCUGUCCAAUAUAGGAGUUAUUUAUAUUUAAGUUAAUUAAAAUUCAGUAAUUUGAUUACAACAGCCAAAUUUCAAGUGUUCAACAACCACACGCGGUCAAUGGACACUGUGCUGGACAAUGCAGAUGAAAGUCUCAGCACUGUCAAAGUGCUACUGGAUUGCACCAUCCUACUAUCAAUAUCUAGAAUCAGUAUCUUCUAGUUUAUUAGUAUUAAACACACCAUUAAUACUACCAUUCCAAACAUUUUUACUCAAUUUAAAUGUAUUUGUUACCUUGUGAACAUUAUCAGUAAUUUACAGGGUCAAAACCUAACCUUUAAUUUCCAAAACCUUACAAUAUAUUAACUCUCCAUCUCUGUAAAUCAUUCCUCCAUGUUCCACUUCAAAUGCCAUUUUCUCCAUGAAGUCCACUUUAUUCUCCAUUGCUAAAAGCAUCAAAUCAGUUCUCCUUUCUGUUAUCAUACCUCUUUAGAAUGUCUUAUAAUUCAUUACAUUGUCCUGUAUCAUAGUUAUUUUGUACAUAUUAAAUAUUUCCCUUUCUGGGACUUAAGGACUCUGAAUCAUUCUCUCCCAGUCCUAGCACAAGACAAGGAACCUAAUAAACGUGAGGAAUUCGAUUGAUCCAAUUAAAAUGAUUUGAAAAAUUUCUUCAGUCUUAAUAUUUAGAGAAACCCUGUGCUUUGGUCUUCAUCCGCGCUCUUUAUCUCUGUUAACGACUAA